Molecule: long non-coding RNA, 1036 nt
Organism: Leopardus geoffroyi (Geoffroy's cat)
Lineage: Eukaryota; Metazoa; Chordata; Mammalia; Carnivora; Felidae
Exons: 3
Source: RefSeq, a predicted model, not a curated record
UGAAUUUUUACAAGGUGAGCACACCUGUUGUGUAUUCCAGUUACAUAUAUUUGCAUAACAAAUUACUGCUAAACUUAGUGGCUUAAAAUAGCAAUAUUUAUUUUGCUUAUGAAUUUGUAAUUUGGGCAAGGCUUGGUAGGUUAACUUGAAGAUUGGGGACUGGAAUCAUCUGAAGGCUCCUUUACUUACGUGUUUAGCUGUUGUUGCUACCUGUUAGCUGUGACCUUAGGUUAUGUCUGUGACCAGAGCACCUUCAAAGAGCCUUUCCAUGCAAUUCUUUGAUGUUUUCAUAGCAUGGUGGCUGAAUAGCAAGGGUGAGCAUCCCAAGAAAGAGGGCCAGGUGGAAGUUCUAGUGCCUUUUCUAACACAGCAUUAGAAAUCAUGCAAUGUCAGUUCCCGUGUAUUCUGUUUGCUGGAGGUGAGUCACUAAGACCAGCCCAUAUAAAAGAGGAGGAAAUUGUACUUCACUUUCUAAUGGUAGGAGUGUCAAAGUGUCAGUGGAUAUGUUUUUAAACUACCACACUUACCUAACCAGCUCCCUGAUCAAGAAGCAGAACAAUACAGUGCUCCAACCUUGCUUUCCUAUCAUUACCUGCUGCCUGCCUAAAAGUUUCUCUCAGCAGAAGAUACUCAAAGGAAGAUAGAGCCAUAGAACAAAGAUUAAAUUCAAGGCCCUGUUAGAAAAUCAUGGACUCCAGGAGUGUAAGCAGAACUUGAAAUAACUCAUCAGUCUUCACCUGGAAGAAGUGGACUGAAAGAGAUAUAAUCAUGGUCAAGCUCUGGAAAUUAUCUGAUUACUGCUUGGUCCCUCCAUGGUGAUCUGUCUUUUGAUUUUAUACCCAAGAUGAUCAUCAGUGAUGACAUUUGAUCACUAGUAUUUCUUUUCAUUAGGAGCCCUGAGAGUGGUCUUCCUCUAGAAGGUGAUAUUACAAAACAGCAAACAUGCAAACCAACUGUUUGGGAUAUAAAGAUUGUAGAACAUCCCUUGCUUUUUUUUUCUUUCUUGAGUAAACAUGUAAAUUAUUCUGUAAAAACA